AGAGUUUGAUCAUGGCUCAGAUUGAACGCUGGCGGCAGGCCUAACACAUGCAAGUCGAGCGGUAGCACAAGAGAGCUUGCUCUCUGGGUGACGAGCGGCGGACGGGUGAGUAAUGUCUGGGAAACUGCCUGAUGGAGGGNGAUAACUACUGGAAACGGUAGCUAAUACCGCAUAACGUCUUCGGACCAAAGUGGGGGACCUUCGGGCCUCACGCCAUCAGAUGUGCCCAGAUGGGAUUAGCUAGUAGGUGGGGUAAUGGCUCACCUAGGCGACGAUCCCUAGCUGGUCUGAGAGGAUGACCAGCCACACUGGAACUGAGACACGGUCCAGACUCCUACGGGAGGCAGCAGUGGGGAAUAUUGCACAAUGGGCGCAAGCCUGAUGCAGCCAUGCCGCGUGUGUGAAGAAGGCCUUCGGGUUGUAAAGCACUUUCAGCGAGGAGGAAGGGUAGUGUGUUAAUAGCACAUUGCAUUGACGUUACUCGCAGAAGAAGCACCGGCUAACUCCGUGCCAGCAGCCGCGGUAAUACGGAGGGUGCAAGCGUUAAUCGGAAUUACUGGGCGUAAAGCGCACGCAGGCGGUUUGUUAAGUCAGAUGUGAAAUCCCCGCGCUUAACGUGGGAACUGCAUUUGAAACUGGCAAGCUAGAGUCUUGUAGAGGGGGGUAGAAUUCCAGGUGUAGCGGUGAAAUGCGUAGAGAUCUGGAGGAAUACCGGUGGCGAAGGCGGCCCCCUGGACAAAGACUGACGCUCAGGUGCGAAAGCGUGGGGAGCAAACAGGAUUAGAUACCCCGGUAGU
Molecule: ribosomal RNA, 797 nt
Filed under: uncultured bacterium
Lineage: Bacteria
Description: bacterial SSU rRNA
Rfam family: Bacterial small subunit ribosomal RNA
Source: RNAcentral